GGAGGAGUCGGUGAAUUUUUAGUUUGGCUUCUCGUUUGUUUUGUGCUUGAUGCACACUCAGAGCCUGGCAAUUGCAAGGUUGAUGACAGAAGAAACCAAUUCUCACUGAAAAUGAAAGAUACGAAUCUUCCCAACAUCUAUUAGGAUCUUAGGUAAAGAUUUCCUCA
Molecule: long non-coding RNA, 167 nt
Filed under: Dasypus novemcinctus (nine-banded armadillo)
Lineage: Eukaryota; Metazoa; Chordata; Mammalia; Cingulata; Dasypodidae
Description: lncRNA (ENSDNOG00000052964.1)
Source: RNAcentral